UGAUGGGAAGAGGGGCACGGAGUGCACCGCGGAAGGUCGAUAACAACGUCAGAAGGUAGAGAGCUGGGCGGCAGUCAGACCAGUUAGACCACUGAAGAGGUCACAUAUGCUGACCAGAAGUCUCUACUAUCCCAGGAAUGAUGUGGUUUUCAGGCACCACCAUGUCUCCUAAGAAAACUUCCUGGACCCUGGGAAAAUUGGGUCUCUGUUUCUCCCCUAUAUUUCAUUUAAACACAAGAAAUGUCACUGAUUCAUUCAGGAAAUCUGUGUUGGACAUGGCUACAUAUAAGACACUCUGUUAGACCCUGAGAACGGUUACUGACAGAUCUGAUCUCAUCCCUGAUGAAACUUGGAGCCUGGUGGACAAGCUUGACAUGUUCAGGAAAUUAAA
Long non-coding RNA from Zalophus californianus (California sea lion), 391 nucleotides. RefSeq lists it as uncharacterized. The transcript has 3 exons. The record is from RefSeq and is a predicted model, not a curated record. NCBI's taxonomy places the organism in Eukaryota, Metazoa, Chordata, Mammalia, Carnivora, Otariidae.